GAUGAACGCUGGCGGCGUGCCUAAUACAUGCAAGUCGAGCGAACAGACGAGGAGCUUGCUCCUCUGACGUUAGCGGCGGACGGGUGAGUAACACGUGGAUAACCUACCUAUAAGACUGGGAUAACUUCGGGAAACCGGAGCUAAUAACGGAUAAUAUAUUGAACCGCAUGGUUCAAUAGUGAAAGACGGUUUUGCUGUCACUUAUAGAUGGAUCCGCGCCGCAUUAGUUAGUUGGUAAGGUAACGGCUUACCAAGGCAACGAGGCGUAGCCGACCUGAGAGGGUGAUCUGCCACACUGGAACUGAGACACGGUCCAGACUCCUACGGGAGGCAGCAGUAGGGAAUCUUCCGCAAUGGGCGAAAGCCUGACGGAGCAACGCCGCGUGAGUGAUGAAGGUCUUCGGAUCGUAAAACUCUGUUAUUAGGGAAGAACAAAUGUGUAAGUAACUAUGCACGUCUUGACGGUACCUAAUCAGAAAGCCACGGCUAACUACGUGCCAGCCGCCGCCGUAA
RNAcentral lists this ribosomal RNA (513 nucleotides) under uncultured bacterium. RNAcentral describes it as "partial 16S ribosomal RNA". It matches the Rfam family "Bacterial small subunit ribosomal RNA", at positions 28 to 523 of the family's 1533-position model. The record is from RNAcentral.